CGUUGUUUGCCUUAUAAAUACGCACGCUCUACUUUAAACAAAAGCGUAGUCGCCCUAUACCAUUCCGUAUCCCUAUCCCAACACCCAUCCACCCACUCACGAACACGUGCCUGUCCUGUCGUCCUCAGUGUUGUGCGUCAGUAUGUGCAAAACAAAUUUAAACUUUACACCCAAAGUUGUUUUUUAUGAGCGAAACUUUAAAUAAUGGAAUUAUCUGACAAGAAGUUGGCCAGAGGACGAGGCCAAGGAAAAGCGCCGGAAGACGGCCAAAGUGCUCAGCCCUAAGCGAUAAUGAAAGAAAGAGCUAACUGAUUGGGCCAAUAUAAAGUUUGCAGUCGCUUCGAAACCAAUCAAUGGUGUAAUUUAUGCCGCUAUUUUCUCCAUGCCCCCCCAUGGCACCCCAACCAGCACCAUCGCACAUCAGCAUAUCAAAAAGCGAACCAGGGCAGCACCACCAUCUCCAACACCAACCCCACUUUCGGCCCGUUAUUAAAUAUUUAUUUACACUUCAGCUACAAUAAUUCAUUGAUGCAUCGAGCGCCUGGCACGACACGCUUUCUCUUUUCGCCACCGACUGGUUGGGGUCGCUCCAGAGCUGAGCUGAACAGGUUGGGUCGCUGGCGGGCACGACCCGGCAACGUAAACGUCAGGACUAACCUUUGCCCGAUGUCCUUCAAAGGCGCCGUCGCUGUGAAAGCAACAGCUGUGCGCUCUCUCUCGGCCAGCGAGCUUCGUCCUGCGAAGCUUUCUUCGACAUCUCACUUCCAGUUUCGAACUUGGCCAAAGCCCUCUUAUCAAAGCUUUCGAAAUAGGCGGAUUGAAAGGCGGCUCAAGCGAGGGCCAUUCAAAAGUU
Drosophila melanogaster (fruit fly) is the source of this 853-nucleotide non-coding RNA. NCBI's taxonomy places the organism in Eukaryota, Metazoa, Arthropoda, Insecta, Diptera, Drosophilidae. The record is from Ensembl.